AGACAGAGAGAGAGACAGAGAGACAGAGAGAGAGAGAGAGACAGAGAGAGAGAGAGAGACACCAGAAGAAAAGAGACAGAUCACUUAAACCUGGUAAAGAGGGUGAUUCCAUCUCAAUAGUAUAAUGUUUAUUAUGUCUAUGUACAGGAGGUCAUAGUUCACAGAACAACCCAAUGGAAGUGGAACAACAGAAUAGAACACUUCUAUUGUGACAUCAUCGUAACAGAAUGACAGGAAGUUGAUGGAACAAUGACUAGAUAAUAAAGGGUUAAAAACAGACUGUUAAAAACUGGUAUUUAAUAUACACAAUUAGUACUCUUUAACAUGAUACACUGUAAUAAAAAUAAUAAUAAUAACAACUCAGGAUAAAUGAAUGUGUUCUCAGGAAUAUAUUACAGGAUGAUAAACUAGAUGAGAAUUCUAAAUAAAAAGGUAAAAAGCCUGGUGAUUGUUAGAAGACAAGUCAGCUUGAAACAUUGUUGAAUUGUUUUUGUAUCGAAAGAGAGAGAGAGAGAGAGGGAGGUGAGAGAGAGAGAGAGAGAGAGAGAGAGAGAGAGAGAGAGAGGUGAGAGAGAG
Oncorhynchus tshawytscha (Chinook salmon) is the source of this 576-nucleotide long non-coding RNA. NCBI's taxonomy places the organism in Eukaryota, Metazoa, Chordata, Actinopteri, Salmoniformes, Salmonidae. The record is from Ensembl.